RNAcentral lists this ribosomal RNA (253 nucleotides) under uncultured bacterium. Its description in RNAcentral is "partial 16S ribosomal RNA". It matches the Rfam family "Bacterial small subunit ribosomal RNA", at positions 524 to 776 of the family's 1533-position model. The record is from RNAcentral.
UACGUAGGGAGCAAGCGUUGUUCGGAUUUACUGGGCGUAAAGGGCGCGUAGGCGGCAAUUCAAGUCAUCUGUGAAAUCUCCGGGCUUAACUCGGAACGGUCAGAUGAUACUGCUUUGCUAGAGUGCGGAAGGGGCAAUCGGAAUUCUCGGUGUAGCGGUGAAAUGCGUAGAUAUCGGGAGGAACACCUGUGGCGAAGGCGGCCAUCUGGACGGUAACUGACGCUGAGACGCGAAAGCGUGGGUAGCAAACAGG